RNAcentral lists this long non-coding RNA (2786 nucleotides) under Gallus gallus (chicken). Its description in RNAcentral is "lncRNA (ENSGALG00010016116.1)". Lineage: Eukaryota; Metazoa; Chordata; Aves; Galliformes; Phasianidae. The record is from RNAcentral.
CAAUUUCCAUAAGGUGAAUACAGAAAGGAACUACAAGCAUUGGAAAUGAAUGGGGGAGUUUAAUUCAGCCGCGUUUCACUCCCACUGAGGAGGCAUACAGAUGGCUGCACAGAACUCAGCAAAAACAGAGCCAGGAGUCAGGGAGAGGGAGACUUCAACUGGGGUUUCGAGUGGAGUUGCUCAUUUAUUUCCCCCUGUAUCAGUCUGCCUCCUGGGAUAUCGCAUGGACAGCUGGCCUAGGCAGGAUUUUGCAAAAGGAAAGAAGAAUAUUCACACUAAGGUCCCUGAAGCCACACUUCUGCAAACUAGCAGCUACCAAAAAGGUCAUCACUGGCUGCAGUCCCUGAAGUUUGUCCCUCUCCUGGCUCUGGUUACCCAUAAGGUCACCACAUACAUCCUCAAGGACACCUCGUCACAUCUCCCAUGCCAGUGUCUACCACUCUUUGCCAAGGUAUACAAGUGGUAGACUCUGCAGAAAGAAACUAGCAACAAGGAAACUGCAUGCAGUUUUUCUAAAAUGGAGUUUUGCUAUGAAGAAUGUGAUUAAAGCUCUCAUAUGAGAGCAAGAACCAAAUUCCUGAAUGAUUUCUAUUAGGAGACAAUGGACUAGAGAAGUAACUCCAUGGAUUCAGUAGGAGUACACAAGGGAUAGGGUCAAAACAAGUAUUCUCAUUUUGACUGGACUCCCUGCUUCAGAAUUCUGUAUUUGGAGCACUUCAGGAGAUGCCCGAAGUUUCUACUACCAUACUUAAAGAGUCACCAAAGCAGGAAAUGUGAGCUCAUGCCAGCUUUCUUAGGGGGAAAAAGAAGAUCUUCAAAGCAACAGUAUAAUUCUAGCAUCUCCAGAAAUGCUAAAGCCCUGACAAUUGUCUGAAGAAAAGUGUUGCAACACAGGCAUAAAUUCAACCUGUAUGAGACAUUAUACAGAAAGAAGACUCCAGAAGAGUAGAUGGCCUGUGUCUUCACUUCUCUGGAGCAGGCUGAUUUCAUUUGACUGCCGCAGUACACAGCAUCCAAUCCUGUGUCUCUGCCAAGACCUUUACUGCCCUGAGACAUAAUUAUUACUCUUGGGAAUUUUUUCAUCUAUAAUGUGAGGAAUGAAUCACAGACCAGCAGACAAGUCAUUUUUGGCAUGAACUUGAAUUGCAUAGCCGGACACAUCUGGCUCUGUAAAAUGCAGAGCAGUAUCAGUCUUCAUACCUGGCAGGAUCUAUUCUUGUUCUGAGCUGUUCCCAAAACUCUAUGUAUCAGGGUUUGUUUUGGAGAGCAAUUCAAAUAAGGACCUUGAAAGGAACUAACUUGUUUAGACUGCAAGCAGUUAAAGGACUAUAUAACCCAGAACUAAACUGUGAGAUAAGGCUUUUUGGUAAAGUAGAAUCACUGCUGGGUUGAGCACUCCAAGUACGCUAAAUUAUUUUUUGGAGAAAAGUCUGAAGUGCUUCAUGCCACUGCUCAGUUUGCCAGUGUCCACUGCAAAGAUGAGAUCCCUCCUGGAGACUGUCGCACCACUCUGCACUCACACGACAUCCAUGGGAACUGGCGAGCACCAACAAAGAUUGUGCAGAGAGGCCUAAAAGGAUCUGGCCACACCUAGCCACAGUGCCUGCUUGUCACCCAGAGCCUUUGGUGGAAGUGGAUUUCUUCAGGCAGUGGAGGAAGAUUCACUUCAUACUUCUGCUGUGAAUUCCUGCCUUCUCAUUGUACCUCUAGUACUGCCUUCAUACGAUGAAUUGAGUUACCAUAUGAUUUAGACUGUCUGGAGCAUCGUAACACUUGUACGCUCACUUCCACAGUCUCCUGCCAAUGAUAAAACAUGAUGUAAUGAGAAGAUGGCAGACAGGCAACUACAAAAAUCGUUUGGAUGAAAAGGAUAUAACGAAAGCAUUGAGACAAACCUAGACAGGAAAGCUACUGUGUCAUAUCUCCUUCAGUCGUAAGUGUGAUGAGAACAUAGGAUGAAAGGACAUCUUUGCUGCAAUUAAAACCUUUAUGAGAAGAGGCUAUGGGAAAAAAAUGUCUUGGAGAAACAAACAAACUAAGGUGACUCAGAGGAGUAACUAAUGUCAGUACUCUCAUUUCACUGCAACUCAAAGAUCCUGAGUGGCCAAACUAGAUGACUACUUAGCAUGUGAUAUAAUGAUCAUAGCCCAAGGACAUUCACAACACUUUUCUGUAAUUGCUGCUGCAAUACCUGUGAUUCUAACAACACACAGAAUCCCUCUACAUUUACAUGGUCAAAUCAUCUGUUUUAGGUAAUUGUGCCAUGAGUAGCAUAUGUGUUCUGUUUCAUCUUGAUGCCAAAAUGAGAACUAAUACAUUUAAGAAGUAAAAAAAAUAUAAAGGAUACUGCAUUUUUAGCAAUGUCGAAAUUCUCGAAUAGUAAAUGAUUGUGAUAAGAACCCACAACUGUUACCUAAAGACGUUGCCCAGUGUUUAACUGAACGUUUGUGGAUGAAGCUUUAUGAUAAGAAACACAUCUUAACGUUCUAUAUCAUUUCUUCUGGGAAAUCAUUCCUAGAAUUUCUGUACAAUAUAUAUUUUUUUCCUUUCAUGUAAGUUCUUAAAAGUGGCAUUACAAACCUCCAAGAAACACUGUUUACAUCACCAUUUGCUCACAACAGAUUAUUGGUUACUGGCAAAAUUAUGUUCUCAUGGAGGCUCAAGGGAGGCCUCAUGGCGGCUGCAGCUCCUCACAGGGAGCAGAGGGCAGUGCUGAGCUCUGCCCUCUGACAGCGACAGGGCCCGAGGGAACGGCAUGGAGGUGUCAGGGGAGGGGCAGCUGGGGG